RNAcentral lists this ribosomal RNA (425 nucleotides) under uncultured bacterium. RNAcentral describes it as "partial 16S ribosomal RNA". It matches the Rfam family "Bacterial small subunit ribosomal RNA", at positions 354 to 796 of the family's 1533-position model. The record is from RNAcentral.
GUGGGGAAUCUUAGACAAUGGGGGCAACCCUGAUCUAGCCAUGCCGCGUGAGUGAUGAAGGCCUUAGGGUUGUAAAGCUCUUUCAGUGGGGACGAUAAUGACGGUACCCACAGAAGAAGCCCCGGCUAACUUCGUGCCAGCAGCCGCGGUAAUACGAAGGGGGCUAGCGUUGUUCGGAUUUACUGGGCGUAAAGCGCACGUAGGCGGAUCGUUAAGUCGGGGGUGAAAUCCUGGAGCUCAACUCCAGAACUGCCUUCGAUACUGGCGAUCUUGAGUCCGGAAGAGGUGAGUGGAACUCCUAGUGUAGAGGUGGAAUUCGUAGAUAUUAGGAAGAACACCAGUGGCGAAGGCGGCUCACUGGUCCGGUACUGACGCUGAGGUGCGAAAGCGUGGGGAGCAAACAGGAUUAGAAACCCCUGUAGUCC